Molecule: transfer RNA, 86 nt
Filed under: Massilia sp.
Lineage: Bacteria; Pseudomonadati; Pseudomonadota; Betaproteobacteria; Burkholderiales; Oxalobacteraceae
Description: tRNA-His
Source: RNAcentral
GGCGUUGAAGACAAAGGGGAAAUCGGCUUUUGACGGCUGGAUUGUGAUUCCUGUUGUCGUGGGUUCGAGUCCCAUCAGCCACCCCA